GAUGAAGAACGCAGCGAAAUGCGAUACGUAAUGUGAAUUGCAGAAUUCAGUGAAUCAUCGAAUCUUUGAACGCACAUUGCGCCCCUUGGUAUUCCAUGGGGCAUGCCUGUUCGAGCGUCAUUUGUACCUUCAAGCUUUGCUUGGUGUUGGGUGUUUGUCUCGCCUUUGCGUGUAGACUCGCCUUAAAAUAAUUGGCAGCCGGCGUAUUGAUUUCGGAGCGCAGUACAUCUCGCGCUUUGCACUCAUAACGACAGCGUCCAAAAGUACAUUUUACACUCUUGACCUCGGAUCAGGUAGGGAUACCCGCUGAACUUAAGCAUAUCAAUAAGCGAGGA
Molecule: unclassified non-coding RNA, 335 nt
Filed under: soil metagenome
Description: partial contains 5.8S ribosomal RNA, internal transcribed spacer 2, and large subunit ribosomal RNA
Rfam family: 5.8S ribosomal RNA (bases 1-120)
Source: RNAcentral